CGGGUGAGUAACGCGUGAGGAACCUGCCUCAAAGAGGGGGACAACAGUUGGAAACGACUGCUAAUACCGCAUAAGCCCACGGCUCGGCAUCGAGCAGAGGGAAAAGGAGCAAUCCGCUUUGAGAUGGCCUCGCGUCCGAUUAGCUAGUUGGUGAGGUAACGGCCCACCAAGGCGACGAUCGGUAGCCGGACUGAGAGGUUGAACGGCUACAUUGGGACUGAGACACGGCCCAG
This 233-nucleotide ribosomal RNA is filed under the name uncultured bacterium. RNAcentral's name for it is "partial 16S ribosomal RNA". It matches the Rfam family "Bacterial small subunit ribosomal RNA", at positions 103 to 334 of the family's 1533-position model. The record is from RNAcentral.